AGCAGCCGCGGUAAUUCCAGCUCCAAUAGCGUAUAUUAAAGUUGUUGCAGUUAAAAAGCUCGUAGUUGAAUUUCGGGAUCAGUAUGUUGGUCGUGCUUCGGUACGUACUGUCAUUACUGGUUUCUACCUUCUGAAGAACCUUGAUGUCAUUAAUUUGGUGUCUUGGGGAAUCAGGACUGUUACUUUGAAAAAUUAGAGUGUUUAAAGCAAGCAUACGCUUGAAUACAUUAGCAUGGAAUAAUGAAAUAGGACGUUUGAUUCUAUUUUGUUGGUUUCUAGGAUCGACGUAAUGAUUAAUAGGGAUAGUUGGGGGCAUUAGUAUUCAAUUGUCAGAGGUGAAAUUCUUGGAUUUAUUGAAGACUAACUACUGCGAAAGCAUUUGCCAAGGAUGUUUUCAUUAAUCAAGAACGAAAGUUAGGGGAUCGAAGACGAUCAGAUACCGUCGUAGUCUUAACCAUAAACUAUGCCGACUAGGGAUCGGAUGAUGUAUUUUUAAUGACUCAUUCGGCGCCUUAAC
RNAcentral lists this ribosomal RNA (517 nucleotides) under uncultured Glomus. RNAcentral's name for it is "SSU rRNA". It matches the Rfam family "Eukaryotic small subunit ribosomal RNA", at positions 569 to 1092 of the family's 1831-position model. The record is from RNAcentral. Lineage: Eukaryota; Fungi; Glomeromycota; Glomeromycetes; Glomerales; Glomeraceae.